GCCCACGCCGCCGGCUUGUCCAGUCCCGUCUCGUUUCCCGUACCACUCCCCUCUCACUCUCUCUCCGCCGCUUUCCAAUGCCGGCGAUGCUGCAGUAAAUCCUCCGGCGAAGGCGGCCGCGGCCCUGCUCGGUCGAUCCCUCCCACCCCAUGUCCAAGGUUUGAGCAGCUGGUGGCUGCUCCACCUUCCCGGCGUCUCACCGGCAGGCGGUCGUGCCAACAUUUCGUUCGAACCAUCAUGCUCGAUUCGCCUCCUCCCGCGCCGCCAGCAUGUGUUGAGAGGAGGUUGGUAGGAGAAAAUGCAAGUCUGCAAAAUAUGCACAGAGAGGGACAGGAGGCUGGGAUAAGGAAGCGGCUCCGAGAAGUCAAUUUUUUGCCAUCUUGGUACUCACAAUCAUGGGUAUCUAUGGUGCUCUUGAUGGGCUCCCAGCCUCAGGCUCCACGCUUCCCUUAGUGUUGAAUGGAUAUUGCAAAACUAACAGGUUGAUGGAUCUUGGGGCGUCAACGAAUUUGGCUUAUCAGACAAAAAGACUAUUCUCCUGUCCACAACUCCACAUUGACAUGUGUUGUUGCACUUAAAGAAAUGGAUUUUUUGCCGGGAGCACAUAAGGAGAGGUAUAGAAAAA
This is a long non-coding RNA of Triticum aestivum (bread wheat), 625 nucleotides long. RefSeq lists it as uncharacterized. The record is from RefSeq and is a predicted model, not a curated record. Lineage: Eukaryota; Viridiplantae; Streptophyta; Magnoliopsida; Poales; Poaceae. The transcript has 3 exons.